CGGGGUGCAGCAGGCGCGAAAACUGUACAAUGCAGGCAACUGCGAUAGGGGGACAUCGAGUGGCAUCCACCUUGGGUGCCUGUCCAACCGUCUAAAAAACGGUUGUUAGCAAGGGCCGGGUAAGACCGGUGCCAGCCGCCGCGGUAAUACCGGCGGCUCGAGUGGUGGCCGAUAUUAUUGAGUCUAAAGGGUCCGUAGCCGGCUUUGCAAGUCCCCUGGGAAAUCCAGCGGCUUAACCGUUGGGCUUUCAUGGGAUACUACAUUGCUUGGGACUGGGAGAGGUAGGAGGUACUCGGGGGGUAGGGGUGAAAUCCUGUAAUCCUCCGGGGACCACCGGUGGCGAAGGCGUCCUACCAGAACAGGUCCGGCGGUGAGGGACGAAAGCUAGGGGCACGAACCGGAUUAGAUACCCGGGUAGUCCUAGCCGUAAACGAUGCCCGCUAGGUGUCACGACGGUCGUGAAUCGUCGUGGUGCCGUAGGGAAGCCGCGAAGCGGGCCACUUGGGAAGUACGGCCGCAAGGCUGAAACUUAAAGGAAUCGGCGGGCGAGCACAAGGGCGAUUCGCGG
This 568-nucleotide ribosomal RNA is filed under the name uncultured archaeon. Its description in RNAcentral is "bacterial SSU rRNA". It matches the Rfam family "Archaeal small subunit ribosomal RNA", at positions 326 to 900 of the family's 1478-position model. The record is from RNAcentral.